UACGUGGGGGGCAAGCGUUGUUCGGAAUUACUGGGCGUAAAGGGCUCGUAGGCGGCCCACUAAGUCAGACGUGAAAUCCCUCGGCUUAACCGGGGAACUGCGUCUGAUACUGGAGGGCUUGAAUUCGGGAGAGGGAUGCAGAAUUCCAGGUGUAGCGGUGAAAUGCGCAGAUAUCAGGAAGAACACCCGUGGCGAAGGCGGCUCUCUGGGACGGUACUGACGCUGAGACGCGAAAGCGUGGGGAGCGAACAGG
Molecule: ribosomal RNA, 253 nt
Filed under: uncultured bacterium
Lineage: Bacteria
Description: partial 16S ribosomal RNA
Rfam family: Bacterial small subunit ribosomal RNA
Source: RNAcentral